Onychomys torridus (southern grasshopper mouse) is the source of this 431-nucleotide non-coding RNA. The record is from the annotation of a RefSeq genome assembly. NCBI's taxonomy places the organism in Eukaryota, Metazoa, Chordata, Mammalia, Rodentia, Cricetidae.
ACAACAUAUGAUAAGUGUCCUCUCCACAGUCACUGAGCACACAGGUCCUCACCAUGGGAUGGAGCUGGAUCAUUCUCUUCCUCCUGUCAGUAACUACAGCUGUCCAUUCCCAGGUCCAGCUGCAGCAGUUUGGAGAUGAGCUGGGGAAACCUGGGUCCUCAGUGAUGUUCUUCUGCAAGGCUUCAGGGUACACCUUCACUGACCACUAUCUUACCUGGGUGAAGCAGUGGCCUGGACAGGGUCUGGAGUGGAUCGGAUGGAUUAUUCCUGGAAGUGGUGGUACUGGCUACAAUCAAAAGUUCCAGGACAAGGCCAAACUGACUACAGACAAGUCCUCUAGCACAGCCUACAUAGAGCUCAGCCACCUGACAUCUGAGGACUCUGGGGUCUAUUAUUGUACAAGAAACACAGUGCUGCAACCCAUAUCUUGA